UUUAACUACCCCUAAGCUAAUCAUUACAACUCUAAACUAGGACGUCAGGGAACUAGAGACCCACCGGUGACACCAAGCCGAAAGUAUUUGGCCCAUAUCCAAGUUUUCACACCACUAUGCUUCCACCAAGUCGUAGUCUCUACAUAAUUUGAUCCACAAAAACCGGAGGCAUUUAGCCUAGUCCACAAUAAUAGAAAGUGUUACAUAAGAAAAGGGUUUGAUUCCUCUAAAUUCUCUAGUACCUUUGUUUCUUAGUUCACUAGCAAGACAAUAGAGAGACCAAACUUUUUCGUUCUCUAACCUUUCUCAAAAUCUCACUUGAGCUUGGUGUAAAAUCCACUUUUUUCUUCAAAACUCACUCACCAACACAAGAAAAAAAACUACAGUGGAUGACAGAUAGAAGGGAAAGGCUAUUAGAAGCUUCUAAAAAGAGGGAGGGAGUGUUUGCUUUCUAUUCAAAGGAAAUGAGGAAAAUUGUGGCCAUUCAUUUGAAAGAGGGUGAUGUUUUCUACUUCAUUUUUGGACACUCAUUUAAUUUAAGGUAAGGUGAGGUGGCUUCAUGAGAACAACAUAUACUUCACUAGUAAAAUAUCUUACUAUUGGAAUUAAAAUAUCUACCCUAAUUUAGCUCAGUUUACAAGUAAAUCUUAUCACAAUAUACAGCUCAUAAAAUAUUUAUCGAUAAUUAUAAUUAUGACAAAAAUAAUUUAAUUAUUAAAAUAAUCACAUUUAAUAGUCUUU
Molecule: long non-coding RNA, 741 nt
Filed under: Cicer arietinum (chickpea)
Lineage: Eukaryota; Viridiplantae; Streptophyta; Magnoliopsida; Fabales; Fabaceae
Description: long non-coding RNA (CARI_LNC000268)
Source: RNAcentral